This 263-nucleotide unclassified non-coding RNA is filed under the name uncultured Gammaproteobacteria bacterium. RNAcentral's name for it is "contains 16S-23S intergenic spacer region". Lineage: Bacteria; Pseudomonadati; Pseudomonadota; Gammaproteobacteria. The record is from RNAcentral.
UCCGGUUUGGCACCUGUGUUCCCGUUCCCUUUCGGGCACAGCCCCCUCUCAGGGGCCUCCAGGACAUGUCAAGGGUAGGUAAGGUUUUUCGCGUUGCAUCGAAUUAAUCCACAUAAUCCACCGCUUGUGCGGGUCCCCGUCAAUUCCUUUGAGUUUUAACCUUGCGGCCGUACUCCCCAGGCGGUCGACUUCACGCGUUAGCUUCGUUACUGAGAGUGUCAAACCCCCAACAACCAGUCGACAUCGUUUAGGGCGUGGACUAC